UGAAACAUUGGUUCUCAUACAAUCACUGAAGUUAAGCAAUGUUGAGUCUGGUCAGUAUCUUGAUAGGUGACCGCUUGGGAAUACCAGGUGCUGUAAG
This 97-nucleotide ribosomal RNA is filed under the name Acanthosepion pharaonis. Lineage: Eukaryota; Metazoa; Mollusca; Cephalopoda; Sepiida; Sepiidae. The record is from RNAcentral.